AAAGUGGAGACGACAGUGAGGAAAGCAUCUUCCCUCUCCCGAGGAAUUUGUCCCCUACCUCACUGUUCAAGGAGUGGCCCAUGAUCUGUAGACCAGCAGCAUCAGCUUCAUCUGGCAGCUUGUUAUGCAGAAUUUCAGGUCCUACCUGAAUACCAAAUCCGAUUCUGGUUUUUAAUAAGAUCCCCAGGAGGCUUUGUAAAUUUCCUGACACCAUACAGAAGUGAACCGCUACAGAUUUACAGAUGCAUUAAAACGUGGCUCUGAAGGUUAUUCUACCCAUCUAAUGGAUAGAACAUUGAGUUGAUACAUCUGAGUGUCCUCUUUGCCUUCAAAAAGAAAUAACUACAGGGGAACUGAGGAGCUGUCCUGAAUACUCCAGAGGCAGGAACUUGGAAGUUCAAGGCAAAGGGAAUUCAAGGAGGGAGUGGUGGUGCUCAGUGGCAUCAGAUAGUAUUACACAACUACAUCUAUGUAAACACUUAUUAGGAAGUUGAUGAAGCUAUCAGCAUGACUGGAGACAGAUUGAGUACCCUGGGGCUCCUAAAUUAUAACAAAUAACGUCAAAGAAAGAUAUUUCUUUGACCCAAAUCAUCAGGUGCCCUGAGCUCCUCUGAGAGACCUGGUCUGGAGAUCACUUGAACCUUAAGCCCCUGAGCUUCCCAGAGAUCACUUAGAACCUGUGGCCUGUGUGUUCUCCUAAGGCCUGGCAGCAGAGCUGGGGAAGCUGGUAGUGGGAGAAGGUGAAGAGAGCAGACUCACUCCUGGCAGUAGGAGAGGGGCGAUGGAGAGAUGAGCACCAGUUGCUUCAUGGCGCAAGUUGUCCAGGCAGAAAACUGCCUGAAAUCUUCAGUUCUCAGCUUACUGCUGCCUCCUCACUUCCUUUAUAGAUUCAUCUUUCAUUGAGGAAGCCAGGGAAAAAAUGGCAUAUCUCACUUCAGCCUUUAUGAAAUAAGACUACAUGGAUAGUCAAACUUUUAGUUUCUGAGAAGUUUUGUAGAAAUAAAAAAAAAAAAACAAGAAUUUUUUAUCUUUGCUUCUUUAUUUUCAGCAGACCAAGUAAGUCACAUUGGCACAGAUAUAUGCUUUUGUGGUAGUUAAUUGGAAGUAAGAAACGUUCGUGCUCUCAUGUCUACAU
Macaca mulatta (Rhesus monkey) is the source of this 1135-nucleotide non-coding RNA. The record is from RefSeq and is a predicted model, not a curated record. Lineage: Eukaryota; Metazoa; Chordata; Mammalia; Primates; Cercopithecidae.